This 279-nucleotide unclassified non-coding RNA is filed under the name Hevea brasiliensis (rubber tree). Lineage: Eukaryota; Viridiplantae; Streptophyta; Magnoliopsida; Malpighiales; Euphorbiaceae. The record is from RNAcentral.
AAAAAAAGAUUGAAAAAAAAAAAAAGAAAACAAAAAGAGAUCAAAAUUACUAAAAGAUUUUAAUCACAAGAGAGGAUAAAAAGGAUGAAAAUUAAGGAUAAUAAUUUAUAUAAAUAAAAAAAAACAAAAGUAACAUAUAAUAAGAACAAAAUAGAUUAAUGGAUGAAUAGAGACAGGAUUGGAGACGGUAUAGAAAGAGAGAGAGACAGAGAGGGGAGGCUUAGAGAGAGAGAGCUAGCGAGAGAGUGAAAUUCUUUUAUACGUAUAUAUAUAACUUUG